RNAcentral lists this ribosomal RNA (466 nucleotides) under uncultured bacterium. Its description in RNAcentral is "partial 16S ribosomal RNA". It matches the Rfam family "Bacterial small subunit ribosomal RNA", at positions 28 to 507 of the family's 1533-position model. The record is from RNAcentral.
GACGAACGCUGGCGGCGUGCUUAACACAUGCAAGUCGAACGGAAAGGCCCUGCUUGCAGGGUACUCGAGUGGCGAACGGGUGAGUAACACGUGGGUGAUCUGCCCUGCACUUCGGGAUAAGCCUGGGAAACUGGGUCUAAUACCGGAUAGGAGCCAUUUUUAGUGUGAUGGUUGGAAAGUUUUUUUCGGUGUAGGAUGAGCUCGCGGCCUAUCAGCUUGUUGGUGGGGUAAUGGCCUACCAAGGCGGCGACGGGUAGCCGGCCUGAGAGGGUGGACGGCCACAUUGGGACUGAGAUACGGCCCAGACUCCUACGGGAGGCAGCAGUGGGGAAUAUUGCACAAUGGGCGCAAGCCGGAUGCAGCGACGCCGCGUGGGGGAUGACGGCCUUCGGGUUGUAAACUCCUUUCGCUAGGGACGAAGCUUUUUGUGACGGUACCUAGAUAAGAAGCACCGGCUAACUACGUG